Molecule: ribosomal RNA, 642 nt
Filed under: Elphidium sp. S23
Lineage: Eukaryota; Foraminifera; Rotaliida; Elphidiidae
Description: SSU rRNA
Rfam family: Eukaryotic small subunit ribosomal RNA
Source: RNAcentral
GCGUUUCAUAUUAUUAUAUAAUAUACACACAUCACGUGUGUUAUAUUAUUACUUUGAAAGCAACGAACGUGACCGUAGCCUUUUAUUAUAUACGCUACACGUAUAUUAAUUAAAGGGACCGCUGUAUCUUUCUUUAAACCAGAGUAAGGUUACGGCAAUAACAGGUCUGUGAUGCCCUUCGAUGUUCCGGGCUGCACACGUGCUACAAUGAUUAUUUCAUUAAGUAUCUACUGUGCAAUAAUAUAUUAUUAUUAUUCAAAAACCUACUCUGAGAAUGAGCGGGUAAUCAAUUAGAAGUAAUGAUUUCCAAAUUUAUACACUCAUGUACCGUAUAUAUUAUCCCAUAUUUUAAUUAAUAUGCGUGUAUAAUAUUGUACGCUGUACGUAUAUUUAUUAAUUCAUGGUGGGGAUAGACUAUUGUUAAUUGUUGGUCUCGGUCUUAACUAGGAAUGCCUUGUACGGGUCAUUGGUUCAACAGACCACCCGGAAUACGUCCCUGCCCUUUGUACACACCGCCCGUCGCUCUUACCGAUGAACUUCGCUAUGAAUCUAUUGGACUGUACCAUUGUGGUAUGGAAAGAUAUAUGAAUAGUGUGGUUUAAAGGAAAGAGAAGUCGUAACAAGGCAUCCGUAGGUGAACCU